UAGUUUGUUUUUGUUUUAAAU
This 21-nucleotide non-coding RNA is filed under the name Caenorhabditis elegans. The record is from RNAcentral. Lineage: Eukaryota; Metazoa; Nematoda; Chromadorea; Rhabditida; Rhabditidae.